This 495-nucleotide ribosomal RNA is filed under the name uncultured bacterium. RNAcentral describes it as "partial 16S ribosomal RNA". It matches the Rfam family "Bacterial small subunit ribosomal RNA", at positions 28 to 507 of the family's 1533-position model. The record is from RNAcentral.
GAUGAACGCUGGCGGCGUGCCUAAUACAUGCAAGUCGAGCGAACAGACGAGGAGCUUGCUCCUCUGACGUUAGCGGCGGACGGGUGAGUAACACGUGGAUAACCUACCUAUAAGACUGGGAUAACUUCGGGAAACCGGAGCUAAUACCGGAUAAUAUAUUGAACCGCAUGGUUCAAUAGUGAAAGACGGUUUUGCUGUAACUUAUAGAUGGAUCCGCGCCGCAUUAGCUAGUUGGUAAGGUAACGGCUUACCAAGGCAACGAUGCGUAGCCGACCUGAGGGUGAUCGGCCACACUGGAACUGAGACACGGUCCAGACUCCUACGGGAGGCAGCAGUAGGGAAUCUUCCGCAAUGGGCGAAAGCCUGACGGAGCAACGCCGCGUGAGUGAUGAAGGUCUUCGGAUCGUAAAACUCUGUUAUUAGGGAAGAACAAAUGUGUAAGUAACUAUGCACGUCUUGACGGUACCUAAUCAGAAAGCCACGGCUAACUACGUG